Molecule: small RNA, 149 nt
Filed under: Gopherus agassizii (Agassiz's desert tortoise)
Lineage: Eukaryota; Metazoa; Chordata; Testudines; Testudinidae
Description: TUC338 (ENSGAGG00000008583.1)
Source: RNAcentral
UAGACAGCCCGGGAGACUGAUGUUCUAAUUAUCUUCAGAACAGGUGCACACGGGCAUUUUCCUGCCAAUGUGACUCAGCCUAGAGGUGGAGAGCCCAGUUCUUUGGUUAGAUGAUAGUUCAGUAUAAAGCCUUCUCAAACUGCUCUACU